RNAcentral lists this ribosomal RNA (651 nucleotides) under Triticum aestivum (bread wheat). RNAcentral describes it as "partial small subunit ribosomal RNA". The record is from RNAcentral. Lineage: Eukaryota; Viridiplantae; Streptophyta; Magnoliopsida; Poales; Poaceae.
AUGAUAGAGCGCUUCCAGGGCGAAGAGAAGAUCUACCACAGUUUUGAUAUUGCAGAGGAUGACCCACAUGGCUACUAUGCCCCCGAGUUCCUGAACAACCUAACUCCCAACAGGCUGCCUCCGCAUGCGCUCAAACUGAAGUUAAAUUGCCCCGUUAUACUGUUGAGAAACAUUGAUCCAGCUAAUGGGUUGUGUAACGGCACAAGGCUUGUGGUCCGGGGUUUCCAAAGGAACGCCAUCGACGCAGAAAUCGUGCUAGGACAACAUGCUGGUAGGAGGGUGUUCCUUCCUCGGAUACCUCUCUGCCCAUCCGAUGACGAUAUAUUCCCUUUCAAGUUCAAGAGGAAGCAGUUCCCUAUUAGGCUCAGUUUUGCCAUGACAAUCAACAAGGCACAAGGGCAGACCAUCCCGAUUGUCGGGGUGUACCUACCAGACCCGAUAUUCUCUCACGGUCAGCUCUACGUCGCAUUGUCUAGAGCCACUGCGAAGAGGAACAUUAAGAUUCUCGCCAUCAAGGACAACGACAAUGGUAAGGGCAAGGGCAAGGGCAAGGGCAAGGAACAAAUCAAUAAUUCAAAUAAGCGAAAAAGAUCUGAGCCCUUAUUAACGACCAUGAAGAACAUAGUCUACAAGGAAGUCCUUAGCACAUGA